This 432-nucleotide ribosomal RNA is filed under the name uncultured bacterium. RNAcentral describes it as "partial 16S ribosomal RNA". It matches the Rfam family "Bacterial small subunit ribosomal RNA", at positions 338 to 795 of the family's 1533-position model. The record is from RNAcentral.
CCUACGGGAGGCAGCAGUGGGGAAUCUUGCGCAAUGGGCGAAAGCCUGACGCAGCAACGCCGCGUGUGUGAUGAAGGUCUUCGGAUCGUAAAGCACUGUCGCGAGGGAAGCGGUACCUCGAGAGGAAGCACCGGCUAACUCUGUGCCAGCAGCCGCGGUAAUACAGAGGGUGCGAGCGUUGUUCGGAAUUAUUGGGCGUAAAGCGCUUGUAGGCGGCUUGUUAAGUCCUGUGUGAAAGCCCUAGGCUUAACCUAGGAAGUGCGCAGGAAACUGGCGAGCUUGAGUGCUGGAGAGGGUCGCGGAAUUCCCGGUGUAGAGGUGAAAUUCGUAGAUAUCGGGAGGAACACCAGUGGCGAAGGCGGCGACCUGGACAGAACUGACGCUGAGACGCGAAAGCGUGGGGAGCAAACAGGAUUAGAUACCCUUGUAGUC